CCCAGGUGCUGUGCCUUUAAACAGCACAGUGUUGUUAUAAACCAGUAACCUUAACCCUUAGCCUCAAAGCACACCCUUUUCCUGAUAACACAGACAGACAUUCACACUCAAAAUACAGUACAACGAUAUUCGGUGUUCACACAUUUGUACACACACACGUACAGCGCACACGUUCAUUUCCAGUGAAGUCCCAGAUUCACUGAAUUGGCAGCGGGCUUAAAAGGUUUCUUCUGUGGUGCUGCUGUUGCGUAACUUCUCAAGAUGUCCUUUGAAGUCUCGUUCCCCAUUUUAGAGUAAGUGUCCUAGGACAGUGUCUUGCAUUAACUACUUACAAUACAAAAUGGAUAGUUGCUCAAACAGGGCGCUUAGCCGUGCUGUAUUGCCUAUAUAUCACAAUUAGCAGUACCUUACGAGAUGGCUUAUUGCUCUUACAAACUGUUUACCAACAGAAUGAGAGCUAAAAAAACUGAUGUUAUAUCAUACCCAUGGAAUACGGUCACAUAUACCAUGGCUAUCAUCCAAUCAGCAUUCAGUAUCCAAUCACCUGGUUAAUAAGAGACAGUAUGACGUUACAUCACUUUUAACUUGUCUAUUCACAUCGGUAAUUGACUUGUAAUUGCAGAAAGGCAUCUUGAGGGUUUGUGGAAUUUUGCCAAUGUACCACAACUAAGUGCUGUAUCCAUUUGUGUCUAAGAAAAGCCCUUAGCUGUGGAAUAUUUGCCACCACAUAACACAUGCCUUAUUGCUUAAUUAGAUACCCAUCAUUCAAGCCCAUCAGGUUUGCCUCAGGGAAGGCAGACCAAAAUAAAUACUAAGACUAAUUAAGGGAAAUCUAGUGAAUAAUCAAAGAGGAGUAAACCAGGCAGGGAAAUCCAACCAUGCCAGGGCAGUGUCAAUAAGUAGCAGAAACCACAGAAUUGGUUGCUAAGUAUCAUUACGUCUGAAGCGCUGUGCAUGCAGCUUUUCGAUUUUAGCAGAACCAGACCGGGUGAAAGACUCCUGGACUAACAACAUGGUGACCAGCGCAGGUGAAACAGGAGAUGACCUCAAACCUCAUUAGGUCACCUGAAAACCCAAAACACAGUCUCAAAGUUUUGCAGAACGGUUGCCCGUAGCGCAGACACGCGCAUACACACAACAACAAUGUCAACAAUAGGCAUCUGCAUGUAUCUCGCCAAGCAGGGCGAAUUCACUGACCAAUCAAAAUGUACUUCCUCAGAAUCUUCAUGCCGAUCAUCACGUUUGGAAUUAUCAUCCUCUGCUGCACGGCCUUCUGCAAGGCCUUUCACCGCGUCCGCGAGGAGCGAAUGGAGCGGGAGGAGAGACUCGACAGGCCCUCGGUUUUCGUUAUCCCCUUCCCAGCGGUGUCCUGUGACAACGAAGACCUCCACAGGCCUCCGCGUUACAGCACCACAGAGUCCUACAGCCCGCCUCCUGCCUACAACGAGGUGGAGAUGAAGCCAGACUUCAUCGAAGCAGAUCUUCCUCCAGCCUACUCAGAGAUCUCACACGCCCCAGAUGUCUAAUUGCGUUCUCCAUCCACUGCGCCUUGGUUUGGUUCCUCCUCAGCCCCACUGUCACCCGGGGGACCAUACUAGCUGGGAAAACUGAAGGCCAAACACACUCGAAGAGAACCUAGGCUAUGCGUGGAUCCAUGACCCUGAAGCUGUACUAACUGUUCUGCAGAGACUUAGCACUGGGGUUUGUGAAAGGUGUGUUUGGGAGGCGCCCUGUGGGAAAAGGAUGAAUCGGCUUAUGUGGCAAGCGUGGGAUUAUGGACGUCUAUGAAUGUGUGUCCUGUGAAGCAAGAUUUGUCCCUCCACCUGCUCUGUGUACAUGUGUAAAUAUUCAAAAAUCUUGAAUAAAUUGUAUUUUUGUAAGCCUUACUCAAAACUGUUAAUAUGAUGAAGUAUUAUUGUUGUGGGCCUUGAUCUGUGAUAAUAUGGUAGUUUAUUUAAAUGUUUUUUGACAUCUGGAAUGAAGUCUGUUUUCCAUUUUGAAGAUCCAAUCUGUUCUCUUCUGUGUCAGUCAUGUCUGAUGCUUCCACACAUCUUCUAUGCUCUUUAACCCCAUCGGUUUCAUAACAGCUCUACCCAGUAAGAUGAUUUAUGAAAGCCUAUUAGUAAGAUAUUGAACAGACAACUGAUUAUCUUCGCCAUGUGACUGACCGACAUAGUGUCAUUGACACGCCUCUUAAACAUUUUCUUUCAGGCUUUAUUACCGCUGCCCAAUCAUAGAUUCAUACUUCAAUAAUAUUAGGACUUUGGCUAAUGGUAGGUCAUUAAGCAAUGAUAAAACCCUUUCACUGACUGUCACUGAAAACCUUGAUGAAAUCAUAUUAGUUCAUAGCUGCCUUUAAAAUGCAUGUUUUAAUCAUCAACGCCUGCCUAAAAAUGUGUGCAGACAUGAUAAAGCCAUGUAUGAAC
Molecule: long non-coding RNA, 2426 nt
Organism: Esox lucius (northern pike)
Lineage: Eukaryota; Metazoa; Chordata; Actinopteri; Esociformes; Esocidae
Source: Ensembl